UUCAAACUAAACAUCCUUCACAUGAAUGGUUUCUUGUGAUUUUUUUCCCCCCACUUUGUCCUAAAAAUAGAGUGCAAGAGGGGAAACCAUGUUAAUUGAGGGUUCUGGUUAAUUGAAGUUUUUACUAUAAUUACCCAUUAUAAAAAUGAAGGGUUUGGGCAGAGAAUAGAUGCAUAGUCUUGGGCAUAUCUAAUUAUUACCUUGGCUUGUAAAUAGCCCUUUGGUGAAAAAGUGCUGUUUUAGAAAGAUGCUCAUUUCAGAAUUCCCUUUCAUAAAGCAACAAAGACAAUUAUCUUCAGUUCUCACUUGAGAGUCCAUAUACAUGAAAGGUAAUGUUGCCUGUGCCUUUUUCCCUAUUGAUUAGUGUUUUCAUUCAGCAGGGAGUAAAGAGGACAGAAUGGAUCAAAUUGUGACCGCAUUGGUUUCUCUUAACAUUGGCUCACUCACUCGCUCUCUCUCCCCCCUCCCCCAACCUUUCAAUGUAAGCAGAAAACACAUAAAGUCAAGUUGGCUAUUUUUUAAACUCAAGGGUUAUGUAUAUACAUUCAAGUUGCAGUCAUGGCCAAACGAGGGUUUUUAAAAAGAACAAUCUUCUUUGUGGCCACUAGAGGGUAUCGUAGACCUAACAAUCCUGUCUUGUUUCUAGUCCUUUCUUUUUCUUAGUCUCUAGGCACCAUCAUGUUUGUUGUGAAAUGGCCAGAACUUAGUAAGACUUUGUUGCUUACCACCCACCUCACUAGACUGUUCUCAGCUUUGUUGUCUUAACAGGUCACACUUCACCAAUACAAGUACUACCAGCAGGGACUCAUGCCUAUGGGGAUAACACAGUAAAAUUUUUUGAGGUGUGGUCUCAGAAAGAAAUUGUGUUGGAAAACUCCUCUGAGGACAAUAUAAUAAAACUGCCUGAUAAAGAAUCAGCUCUUGAACCUUCACUGUGACACCUGGGAGACAAGUUAUCUCAACCUUUGUUUAAGAUGCAAAAAGUACUCUGAAUUCUUUGUACAACUGUGACCAGAUUUCCAGUCUUUGAAAAAGAAGGGCAGAAGAUGACAAGGAAUGAACAGAUAACCGAAUGUAACUCGCCCUUUUCCAAUAAGAAACUUCCUGGGAAGGUGAUGGAUGAAGGGAUUGUUGCAUUGGUUCCUCCCAGGCAAGGCCACUCCAGAGGAACAACUUCAAGACCAGCAGGACUGGAGUUCCCAUUGUGGCUCAGCAGAAACGAAUCUAACUAGCAUCCAUGAGG
This is a long non-coding RNA of Phacochoerus africanus (Common warthog), 1243 nucleotides long. RefSeq lists it as uncharacterized. The record is from RefSeq and is a predicted model, not a curated record. The transcript has 3 exons. Lineage: Eukaryota; Metazoa; Chordata; Mammalia; Artiodactyla; Suidae.